RNAcentral lists this long non-coding RNA (202 nucleotides) under Ananas comosus (pineapple). RNAcentral's name for it is "long non-coding RNA (ACOM_LNC007795)". The record is from RNAcentral. Lineage: Eukaryota; Viridiplantae; Streptophyta; Magnoliopsida; Poales; Bromeliaceae.
AGUCAACCUUUUCCUAUUAUACACUAAGGUAUCGUUUGGUUCGGGGAUAAGCAAAAAGUGGCUAUUUCGAAAAUAGAUAUAAAUUGAAGUAUAAAUAGGGAUUAGAUCAAUUUUGCGUUUGAAUGAAAAUUGGGUUAUUCUUGAUAAUAAAAAAAAUAGCGUUUGAUUAGAUAAGAUGGAAUAAGAAUUAAAAUGGGUAGUU